Drosophila elegans is the source of this 611-nucleotide long non-coding RNA. RefSeq lists it as uncharacterized. Lineage: Eukaryota; Metazoa; Arthropoda; Insecta; Diptera; Drosophilidae. The record is from RefSeq and is a predicted model, not a curated record. The transcript has 3 exons.
UAGACCUGUGAGUGGGAGCGGGUAGAUGGGUGCCUUGUUUAACCAGACCGACUGCCGAACCCCAUCUUCGUGUCGUUAUCCUUAUCAGGCGAGUGUGUGACAGGCUUCUCUGCUGCCUUCGGGGUCCUUUAAACGAGCGGAUGGCUUCGCAGUCGCCUCAGUUCGUCGGCAGCCGUCCCACAGUGCGGAUGACCCAAAGCGGACCGCCGACCUCCGACCUUUGACAUCGAAAGUUCGGUUGCGUUCGCGAUUUUUUGCCGCGCUGUCAUCGCGAUUUUGAACGCUUUCGAACCGUUCUGUGUUUUGUUGGUGCCGUAAUUCCGAGGAUAGGAUACAAAAAAAAAAAAACAGAGUAAAAAAGGCAUCAAGAGUUACAUGACUAAAUAAAGUAAAGCCUCCUCGUUCAAUAACAAAUCAAUCGAAAUAUGUAUACCCGCUUUGCUGGAUGCACCCACGGUAAUUGAACGAUUUUAUCUUCGCAAUGAUGCCUUAAAUUAGCACAAGUUUGCAAAUGUAACGACUCGAAUCCAGAUGAUAUAUUGCAUCGAUGCCUCUCGUGCAGGCGCAUUAAGUUCGCUUAUUGCCGGCAAUAAACUCAUUUACGUACUCGA